This 70-nucleotide transfer RNA is filed under the name Dipodomys ordii (Ord's kangaroo rat). It matches the Rfam family "tRNA". From Rfam's summary of the family: Transfer RNA (tRNA) molecules are approximately 80 nucleotides in length. The record is from Rfam by way of RNAcentral. Lineage: Eukaryota; Metazoa; Chordata; Mammalia; Rodentia; Heteromyidae.
GGAAAUGUGGCUUAGUGGUAGAGUGCUUGCCUAGCAUGCACGAAGCCCUGGGUUCAAUUCCUCAGUACCA